RNAcentral lists this ribosomal RNA (380 nucleotides) under uncultured eukaryote. RNAcentral describes it as "partial 18S ribosomal RNA". It matches the Rfam family "Eukaryotic small subunit ribosomal RNA", at positions 592 to 976 of the family's 1831-position model. The record is from RNAcentral.
CAAUAGCGUAUAUUAAAGUUGUUGCAGUUAGAACGCUCGUAGUCGGAUUUCGGGGCGGGGCGACCGGUCUGCCGAUGGGUAUGCACUGGCCGGAGUGUCCUUUUUGCCGGAGACCGUGCCUACUCUUAACUGAGCGGGGGCGGGAGACGGCACUUUUACUUUGAAAAAAUCAGAGUGUUUCAAGCAGGCAGCUCGCUCUUGCAUGGAUUAGCAUGGGAUAAUGAAAUAGGACUUUGGUGCUAUUUUGUUGGUUUCGAACACCGAAGUAAUGAUGAGAAGGGACAGUCAGGGGCACUCGUAUUCCGCAGAGAGAGGUGAAAUUCUCAGACCCGCGGAAGACGAACCACUGCGAAAGCAUUUGCCAGGGAUGUUUUCACUGA